UAACAACCUGGAAACAGAUGCUAAUACCGGAUAACAACAGAUGAUGCCUAUCAACUGUUUAAAAGAUGGUUCUGCUAUCACUCUUGGAUGGACCUGCGGUGCAUUAGCUAGUUGGUAGGGUAACGGCCUACCAAGGCGAUGAUGCAUAGCCGAGUUGAGAGACUGAUCGGCCACAUUGGGACUGAGACACGGCCCAAACUCCUACGGGAGGCAGCAGA
This 218-nucleotide ribosomal RNA is filed under the name uncultured Lactobacillus sp. RNAcentral's name for it is "partial 16S ribosomal RNA". It matches the Rfam family "Bacterial small subunit ribosomal RNA", at positions 144 to 354 of the family's 1533-position model. The record is from RNAcentral. Lineage: Bacteria; Bacillati; Bacillota; Bacilli; Lactobacillales; Lactobacillaceae.